GACGUAGGGUGCAAGCGUUGUUCGGAUUGACUGGGCGUAAAGGGCGUGUAGGCGGUUGGUCAAGUCUGAUGUGAAAGCCCGGGGCUCAGCCCCGGAAGGGCAUCGGAAACUAGCCAGCUGGAGCGCGAUAGAGGAGGGUGGAAUUCCUGGUGUAGCGGUGAAAUGCGUAGAUAUCAGGAGGAACACCGGCGGCGAAGGCGGCCCUCUGGAUCGUUGCUGACGCUGAGGAGCGAAAGCGUGGGGAGCGAACAGG
This 253-nucleotide ribosomal RNA is filed under the name uncultured bacterium. Its description in RNAcentral is "partial 16S ribosomal RNA". It matches the Rfam family "Bacterial small subunit ribosomal RNA", at positions 524 to 776 of the family's 1533-position model. The record is from RNAcentral.